GGCGCCAUGGUGGACGAGAGCCGACGGCGCCAUGGUGGACGAGAGCCGACGGCGCCAUGGUGGACGAGAGCCGACGGCGCCAUGGUGGACGAGAGCCGACGGCGCCAUGGUGGACGAGAGCCGACGGCGCCAUGGUGGACGGAGGCCCUGCCUUAAGAAUGAUGUUGGGACCCGAUGGCCUUGGCUGAUGGAGGAACUGCAUCUGGAGGACGACCAUGAAUCUACCUGCCAACAGGUGGUACUGGUUUGCACUGGUUUGCAUGAACUGAACAUGGUGGACAUGAGGCAAAUUCCCUGCUUUUUGCUCCAGACCAGGACUCUUUGAUGGAGGGGUGGUGAUGGAGCCGUGCUGAGGACCCGCUGGUGAAGGACGUCCCUCGGUGGGGGGGCAAGGACAGCCGACCCUGAGGAUCCGCUCGGAUCUACGAUCGCUACGAUGCGACUGCAGAGGUCUCAGGAAGGUAAA
Gadus macrocephalus (Pacific cod) is the source of this 466-nucleotide long non-coding RNA. RefSeq lists it as uncharacterized. NCBI's taxonomy places the organism in Eukaryota, Metazoa, Chordata, Actinopteri, Gadiformes, Gadidae. The record is from RefSeq and is a predicted model, not a curated record. The transcript has 3 exons.